GAUGAGCGCUGGCGGCGUGCCUAAUACAUGCAAGUCGAGCGAACGGACGAGAAGCUUGCUUCUCUGAUGUUAGCGGCGGACGGGUGAGUAACACGUGGAUAACCUACCUAUAAGACUGGGAUAACUUCGGGAAACCGGAUCUAAUACCGGAUAAUAUUUUGAACCGCAUGGUUCAAAAGUGAAAGACGGUCUUGCUGUCACUUAUAGAUGGAUCCGCGCUGCAUUAGCUAGUUGGUAAGGUAACGGCUUACCAAGGCAACGAUGCAUAGCCGACCUGAGAGGGUGACCAGCCACACUGGAACUGAGACACGGUCCAGACUCCUACGGGAGGCAGCAGUAGGGAAUCUUCCGCAAUGGGCGAAAGCCUGACGGAGCAACGCCGCGUGAGUGAUGAAGGUCUUCGGAUCGUAAAACUCUGUUAUUAGGGAAGAACAUAUGUGUAAGUAACUGUGCACAUCUUGACGGUACCUAAUCAGAAAGCCACGGCUAACUACGUG
Molecule: ribosomal RNA, 497 nt
Filed under: uncultured bacterium
Lineage: Bacteria
Description: partial 16S ribosomal RNA
Rfam family: Bacterial small subunit ribosomal RNA
Source: RNAcentral